Non-coding RNA from Phoenix dactylifera (date palm), 1385 nucleotides. NCBI's taxonomy places the organism in Eukaryota, Viridiplantae, Streptophyta, Magnoliopsida, Arecales, Arecaceae. The record is from RefSeq and is a predicted model, not a curated record.
UCUUUCUUCCUUUUCUUUUCUUUCUUCUCCUCCCUUCUUCUUUCUUUCCCGACCUCCUCCGCCUCCUCUUCUCCCAUAAACUAAGAGGCGAGCUCGGAAGGGGCGCUCGGGAGGAGCCGGGUCCGAGGUCGACGGUGCCGGCGGCCGGCCAACGCUGCUCGCGACUCAGCCUGCAGCGGCCGACCUCCCUUCCUCUUCGUCUUCCAUUUCUUAUCCCUCUCUAGUGAAGGGGGGGUUUCCCUUCCCCAUGGACAAGGAGAAGCCGGUGGUGCACGCCGGUCUGCGGCCAAGCUAGCGGCGCCCGCAUGGCGCACGGCUGGCCUCGCGGCCGAUGCCUGUGGUCGACCCGACGACGCUCGCAGUGCCCCGAACCGGCGACGUCCACGGCCGGAGGAUAGAGAUCCUCUCCGAUCUCCUCCGGCUGAGAUCAAGCCGGUUCCCACGGAUGGGAACUGGGUUUCACUCGAGCUGAGGACCCUUCCAUGAAUAGGAUUUUUAGAUCUAAGGUUUUGAUGGAAGGGAAAGCCAAAAUCGAGUUGAAGAGAAAGGGCUCUUCGGCAUGGCCGACCAUGGCCUUCGAUCGACCGAGCCAAUGUGGGAUCACGGCCGCUCACAGCUGCACUAGUUUAUGGGCUUACCUAGCUCCGAGGCUGUGCGGCCUUUCCGGCAAAUACUGUAUCUCCUCCGGCGGCUCAAUUGCGGUGACGAGCUGGGUUGUCUCCUCCUCCGUCGCUCCCGAUCCAGCUCCUUUGGACAAAAGGAGAAGGCAAUGAGAGGUAGUGAGAGGGUGAGGGAUGAAGCAUCUCUAAGAAGACUCCUAGGUUCUUAUAGCCCUGGUGUGGGGGAGAAGAAUGGUGGUGAUCAUGGCUGUCAGGCGGUUGUAACCGCCUCAGCUGGCGAUCACCACCUCUGGGUCUCCAGAUGGGCCGGCCAUGUUGGGCUUGGCCCAUUAGCUCACUAUCUUAUGGGCUGGUUUUCACAGUAAUUAGUUCUGUUUGUUUGGAGCUCGUUUAGAACCGGCUUCUCAUCUUUUCAUCUCAUGUCCUUUUCACUAGAGGUAUCUGGUUCUGCUUUCAUGUCGUUUCUUAAUUUGGAAGGCUGACCCUCAAACUUCCAUAAAACUUUGGACCUCAUGGAGACGAAGAAAGAUUCAGACUUCGAUGAGAAAAGCUUGGAAUCAGCUCCUUCAAUGGCUUCAUGUCGGCACAUUUGGUACGAGCAGAAAGCGAGAAUCUUCCUUAGGAGAAACUCUAUGUCACCACUGAUGACAGUUGGGUCUGAAUGAUUUGUUUUUGCUCCCUUGUGGCCUCCAUCUUCUCGUAUUUGUAAAUUCUUCAAAACUUCUGUAAAUAUUGUUCUAUGCAUGCAUCUUCCUUGUUGAUUAA